GGGAACGUGGCUCAGUGGUAGAGUGCUUGCCUUGCAUGCAUGAGGCCCUGGGUUCAAUUCCUCAGCACCA
Non-coding RNA from Dipodomys ordii (Ord's kangaroo rat), 70 nucleotides. The record is from Rfam. Lineage: Eukaryota; Metazoa; Chordata; Mammalia; Rodentia; Heteromyidae.